CAAGCUAUAGCUUAUUUAAAGCUUUUUAGUUACAUUAAUAGGAAAAUAUAUAUAUUUAUUUAGUUUGA
This is a non-coding RNA of Macrosteles quadrilineatus (aster leafhopper), 68 nucleotides long. Lineage: Eukaryota; Metazoa; Arthropoda; Insecta; Hemiptera; Cicadellidae. The record is from the annotation of a RefSeq genome assembly.